GAUGAACGCUGGCGGCGUGCCUAAUACAUGCAAGUCGAGCGAACGGACGAGAAUCUUGCUUCUCGGAUGUUAGCGGAGGACGGGUGAGAAACACGUGGAUAACCUACCUAUAAGACUGGGAUAACUUCGGGAAAGCGUAUCUUAUACCGGAUAAUAUUUUGCACCGCAUUGUGCGUAAGUGAAAGACGGUCGUUCUGGCACUUAUAGAUGGAUCCGCGCUGCAUGAGCUAGUUGGUAAGGUAACGGCUUACGAAGGCGACGAUGCAUAGCCGAGGUGAUAGGCUGAUAGCCCACACUGGAAGUGAGCCACGCUCCAGGCUCCUGCGGGAGGCAGCAGUAGGGAAUCUUCGGCAGUAGGCGAAAGCCUGACGGAGCAAGCCGGAGUGAGUUAUGACGGCGUUCGGAGCGUAAAACUGUGUUAUUAGGGAAGAACAUCUGUGUCAGGAACUGUGGAGAUAUUGACGGUAAUUAAUCAGAAAGCACCGGCUAACUACGUG
This 497-nucleotide ribosomal RNA is filed under the name uncultured bacterium. RNAcentral describes it as "partial 16S ribosomal RNA". It matches the Rfam family "Bacterial small subunit ribosomal RNA", at positions 28 to 507 of the family's 1533-position model. The record is from RNAcentral.